UACGAGGGGGGCAAGCGUUGUUCGGAAUUACUGGGCGUAAAGUGUGCGCAGGCGGCUUCGCAAGUCGAGUGUGAAAUCCCCGAGCUUAACUUGGGAAUUGCGCUCGAAACUACGGAGCUGGAGUGUGGCAGAGGAAGGUGGAAUUCCACGUGUAGCGGUGAAAUGCGUAGAGAUGUGGAGGAACACCGAUGGCGAAGGCAGCCUUCUGGGCCAACACUGACGCUCAUGCACGAAAGCGUGGGGAGCAAACAGG
RNAcentral lists this ribosomal RNA (253 nucleotides) under uncultured bacterium. RNAcentral describes it as "partial 16S ribosomal RNA". It matches the Rfam family "Bacterial small subunit ribosomal RNA", at positions 524 to 776 of the family's 1533-position model. The record is from RNAcentral.